AUUGAACGCUGGCGGCAUGCUUUACACAUGCAAGUCGAACGGCAGCGCGGGCUUCGGCCUGGCGGCGAGUGGCGAACGGGUGAGUAAUGCAUCGGAACGUGCCCAGUAGUUGGGGAUAGCCCGGCGAAAGCCGGAUUAAUACCGCAUACGACCUGAGGGUGAAAGCGGGGGACCGAAAGGCCUCGCGCUAUUGGAGCGGCCGAUGUCGGAUUAGCUAGUUGGUGGGGUAAAGGCUUACCAAGGCGACGAUCCGUAGCUGGUCUGAGAGGACGACCAGCCACACUGGGACUGAGACACGGCCCAGACUCCUACGGGAGGCAGCAGUGGGGAAUUUUGGACAAUGGGGGUAACCCUGAUCCAGCCAUGCCGCGUGCGGGAAGAAGGCCUUCGGGUUGUAAACCGCUUUUGUUCGGGAAGAAAUCCUCUGGGCUAAUACCCCGGGGGGAUGACGGUACCGGAAGAAUAAGCACCGGCUAACUACGUG
This 484-nucleotide ribosomal RNA is filed under the name uncultured bacterium. Its description in RNAcentral is "partial 16S ribosomal RNA". It matches the Rfam family "Bacterial small subunit ribosomal RNA", at positions 28 to 507 of the family's 1533-position model. The record is from RNAcentral.